CUACGGGUUGCAGCAGUGGGGAAUAUUGCACAAUGGGCGAAAGCCUGAUGCAGCAACGCCGCGUGAGUGAAGAAGGCCUUCGGGUCGUAAAACUCUUUUCUUGAGGAAGAAUAUUGACGGUACUCAAGGAAUAAGCCCCGGCUAAUUACGUGCCAGCAGCCGCGGUAAUACGUAAGGGGCAAGCGUUAUCCGGAAUCACUGGGCGGAAAGGGUGCGUAGGUGGUCAAAUAAGUCAGAAGUGAAAGGCUAUGGCUCAACCAUAGUAAGCUUUUGAAACUGUUUGACUUGAGUGCAGGAGAGGAAAGUGGAAUUCCUAGUGUAGCGGUGAAAUGCGUAGAUAUUAGGAGGAACACCAGUGGCGAAGGCGACUUUCUGGACUGUAACUGACACUGAGGCACGAAAGCGUGGGGAGCGAACAGGAUUAGAUACCCUAGUAGUC
RNAcentral lists this ribosomal RNA (439 nucleotides) under uncultured bacterium. Its description in RNAcentral is "partial 16S ribosomal RNA". It matches the Rfam family "Bacterial small subunit ribosomal RNA", at positions 339 to 795 of the family's 1533-position model. The record is from RNAcentral.